GCUGGGUGUGGUUGUGUGUGCCUGUAAUCCCAGCUACUCAGGAGGCUGAGGCAGGAGAAUCACUUGAACCCGGGAGGUGCAAGCUGCAGUGAGCUGAGAUUGUGCCACUGCACUCCAGCCUGGGUGACAGAGUGAGAUCCUGUCUCAA
This 148-nucleotide non-coding RNA is filed under the name Pan troglodytes (chimpanzee). The record is from Rfam by way of RNAcentral. Lineage: Eukaryota; Metazoa; Chordata; Mammalia; Primates; Hominidae.